This 567-nucleotide long non-coding RNA is filed under the name Pogona vitticeps (central bearded dragon). Its description in RNAcentral is "lncRNA (ENSPVIG00000010195.1)". Lineage: Eukaryota; Metazoa; Chordata; Lepidosauria; Squamata; Agamidae. The record is from RNAcentral.
UCAUUAAAAUGGUCAGCAGGAAUAUUACUUAUCUUAAGCAACUCCAGAGUCAUGGAUCCUUGAGGGAAAGGCAGGAGACAUGAGGAUAAAAGGAGGCCAGGGGUGAGCCCGAAACGUAAUGAAAAAAAGAUACUAAACAGAAUAUCGUUUAGUAUAAUCUCUCUAGGCAGUCAAAGGAACUGGGGACUUAAUGGAAACAAGUGCUUGUUUUCUGAUCCGACAGAAAUACUAGCUGGAAAUCAGAUGCUUCCUGAAGUUUUGACCUUAGUUAACAGUAAUGGUUCCCCUGUGCUUACCAAAUGGCAGUUCUCAUAUGAGCUUCAUUUGGAUAACAGCUUUUCAACUACCCAGAAUGGGAUAGGAAAUGAGAACAUUGCCUUAUCAUCAGAUGGACCUUCAGAUUCAAGGUGUCCUACCUGCUUUGAAAGAAAACUGAAUUUGCCUUUCCUAAAUCCUUGCUUCCAUAGAUACUGUUUUACUUGUAUCUUAGAAUGGUCAGACAGAAAAGCAGAGUGUCCACUCUGUAAAAAGCAUUUUCACUCUUUCACACUAUAAGAUCUGACACUG